ACGGAAGGCAGCAGUGGGGAAUAUUGCACAAUGGGGGAAACCCUGAUGCAGCGACGCCGCGUGAGUGAAGAAGUAUUUCGGUAUGUAAAGCUCUAUCAGCAGGGAAGAAAAUGACGGUACCUGACUAAGAAGCCCCGGCUAACUACGUGCCAGCAGCCGCGGUAAUACGUAGGGGGCAAGCGUUAUCCGGAUUUACUGGGUGUAAAGGGAGCGUAGACGGCGAUGCAAGUCUGAAGUGAAAGCCCGUGGCUUAACUGCGGAACUGCUUUGGAAACUGUAUUGCUAGAGUGUCGGAGAGGUGAGUGGAAUUCCCAGUGUAGCGGUGAAAUGCGUAGAUAUUGGGAGGAACACCGGCGGCGAAGGCGGCUCACUGGACGAUAACUGACGUUGAGGCUCGAAAGCGUGGGGAGCAAACAGGAUUAGAUACCCUGGUA
Molecule: ribosomal RNA, 434 nt
Filed under: uncultured Lachnospiraceae bacterium
Lineage: Bacteria; Bacillati; Bacillota; Clostridia; Lachnospirales; Lachnospiraceae
Description: partial 16S ribosomal RNA
Rfam family: Bacterial small subunit ribosomal RNA
Source: RNAcentral